CCCACGUCACCAUCUCUGCUUGUGGUCACUCAAUUGAUGUUUUUCCGGUGGAGAAGCCGUAACUGCAUCCAAUGAAAACCAAUUGUACGCUGGAGACUUGAAAAGUUCAUGGAUGAAUUGUCCCAGAUGUUUCUCACAGCACUUUGGCCAACGCUCAUUAAUCCUUGAAGAUGUAACCAAGGGAUCCAUGGUGGAUAAUUUGGUGUAACAGUGUGAAAGCAAGAACAGAGGAAAAGAUUUCUGGUCACACUGCCAGCUUCUGGUCCUGUGGAGCUGAUUUAAAGAAGAGAGAAAAUGUUCCUGCCCCAGAGAUCUCUGCAGACAGUUACAUUUUUGGCAAUUCUGUUUUUUGCCUGUUUUACAAUGGGCCAAGACCUUGAAAACAGGAGGGCGCUGACCGAGCACCAGCUCCUGCACGACAAAGGGAGGGCGGUGCAGGGGCUGAAGCGGCUGCUGUGGCUGCAGCACGCCCUGGGUGCCGUGCACACGGCCAGCAGCAGGGACUCCCCGCUCCCCAGCGCCAGCUGGGACUCGCAGGAGAGCCAGGAUCCCUCUGAUUUCAACAGCAGCGAUGGAGAGGAGGCUGCCAGCCUGCUGAGGACUCCAGCUUCCAGCCAGCUGCUGGAACAGAUGGAAGCUCAGGGGCUCCUCCCACUAAAGCAGCUGGAUGGGAGGAUCCCAGAGGGUAACUGGGACCCACAGCACCUUUUCAAGCCCCUCUGACUACUCCCAGCAGUGUCAGCCCAGCGUCUGUCCCUGGCUUUACACGUGCACUGCUGAGGGAACAGCUCCAGAACAAAGGGGAACAGCAAAAUAAAAACCCUUAAGGGCACUCA
Molecule: long non-coding RNA, 836 nt
Filed under: Junco hyemalis (dark-eyed junco)
Lineage: Eukaryota; Metazoa; Chordata; Aves; Passeriformes; Passerellidae
Description: lncRNA (ENSJHYG00000016879.1)
Source: RNAcentral